Spea bombifrons (plains spadefoot toad) is the source of this 182-nucleotide long non-coding RNA. RefSeq lists it as uncharacterized. NCBI's taxonomy places the organism in Eukaryota, Metazoa, Chordata, Amphibia, Anura, Pelobatidae. The transcript has 2 exons. The record is from RefSeq and is a predicted model, not a curated record.
CCCACGGGGGCCAGAAUGGACUAGAGUGGGCCCUGACAGAGUGCUGAGCAGGGCUAGGCUAAGGCAGGAAUUGUGGAUUUUAGGGGAGGAGUUUUGGUCGGAGGAUAUUUAAGUUUGGUGAUCACAGGGGUUUUACAGGACAAUGACUGUUAAAUAAAACGGCUGUGGCCUUUUCAAACCCA